This 643-nucleotide ribosomal RNA is filed under the name Pseudomonas sp. OC-D6-2. RNAcentral describes it as "bacterial SSU rRNA". It matches the Rfam family "Bacterial small subunit ribosomal RNA", at positions 33 to 671 of the family's 1533-position model. The record is from RNAcentral. Lineage: Bacteria; Pseudomonadati; Pseudomonadota; Gammaproteobacteria; Pseudomonadales; Pseudomonadaceae.
ACGCUGGUGGCAGGCCUAACACAUGCAAGUCGAGCGGAUGAAGGGAGCUUGCUCCUGGAUUCAGCGGCGGACGGGUGAGUAAUGCCUAGGAAUCUGCCUGGUAGUGGGGGAUAACGUUCCGAAAGGAACGCUAAUACCGCGUACGUCCUACGGGAGAAAGCAGGGGACCUUCGGGCCUUGCGCUAUCAGAUGAGCCUAGGUCGGAUUAGCUAGUUGGUGAGGUAAUGGCUCACCAAGGCGACGAUCCGUAACUGGUCUGAGAGGAUGAUCAGUCACACUGGAACUGAGACACGGUCCAGACUCCUACGGGAGGCAGCAGUGGGGAAUAUUGGACAAUGGGCGAAAGCCUGAUCCAGCCAUGCCGCGUGUGUGAAGAAGGUCUUCGGAUUGUAAAGCACUUUAAGUUGGGAGGAAGGGCUGUAGGCUAAUAUCCUGCGGUUUUGACGUUACCAACAGAAUAAGCACCGGCUAACUUCGUGCCAGCAGCCGCGGUAAUACGAAGGGUGCAAGCGUUAAUCGGAAUUACUGGGCGUAAAGCGCGCGUAGGUGGUUCGUUAAGUUGGAUGUGAAAGCCCCGGGCUCAACCUGGGAACUGCAUCCAAAACUGGCGAGCUAGAGUACGGUAGAGGGUAGUGGAAUUUCC